Nannospalax galili (Upper Galilee mountains blind mole rat) is the source of this 894-nucleotide long non-coding RNA. RefSeq lists it as uncharacterized. The transcript is spliced from 3 exons. The record is from RefSeq and is a predicted model, not a curated record. Lineage: Eukaryota; Metazoa; Chordata; Mammalia; Rodentia; Spalacidae.
GUUGUGACAUCACUUACUAACAUGGCUGUAACCUUAACAGGAUGGGAAUCUGCAUCUUUUUGACGCCAAAGAAGCGACUCUUUUGGCAGUCCAUGUGGAUAAAGUGGUUGGCCUGCAAAGAAUCAUGUGCUGUAGCAGAGAGUUUCAAGGUGGAAAGAAUAUUUUUAUGACGCACUCUGCAACACUAAAACUGCAGUCUUGGCUACCUUCGAUCACUGUGAAUUUACUGCAGAUCUGUCUUUAAGGACUUAUUGGUGGGAUCGAGAAUAUUUAACAUCCUCUGCAGUGCUAAAAAGCAGAGCAGAUACAGCAGGAAACAAAAGCAGAAAGGAAUCAGAAGAGCUUUGCCCUCCUUGUCCCGUGUCCAGAUGUGGCAGCAGCAUCAGGGUAGCUGACCCCACUGUCCACCUACCUGUGGCCCUUGGGAGGCGCUGGGGCAGGGAGACACUUCGGAGAGGCAGGUGUGCAGAGAUCCAGAGGAUGCUGAGCAUCAGGACUCUUCUUGUCCAAGUUGGGCUGUAUUUUGUGAGCAUUUCCACUGUGCUCUGUGCAGCGUUGUGUUCAGGAAGGGAGCAAAGGAGGAUUAUGCUGAAUCAUGUGAGGAGGCUCCUUCCUGCCCAGUGACUGCCUGCUGGGGCACAGUUUAGCAAGGGGCAGCCCAGGAGCCAGCUGAGCUUCCGUGAUCAGGAGACCCAAGCCGCAGGGAAGCUGGAGGACUUAGGGAGGAGAGCAGGAAGCUGGUUUUCAUGGACACAGGAAAUAAUACAAUGGACUCAUGUUACCAAUGGAAAAGUCUCAACAUAAAAACAUGAAUGAACAGCAGUCUAGCUGCUAAGAAGAAAUGGAUGUUUUCCUAUGCUCUCCCAUACUCCCUGUGAUGAUUUGAAUGAGAAU